UACGGAGGGGGCUAGCGUUGUUCGGAAUUACUGGGCGUAAAGCGCACGUAGGCGGCUUUGUAAGUUAGAGGUGAAAGCCCGGGGCUCAACUCCGGAAUUGCCUUUAAGACUGCAUCGCUAGAAUUGUGGAAAGGUAAGUGGAAUUCCGAGUGUAGAGGUGGAAUUCGUAGAUAUUCGGAAGAACACCAGUGGCGAAGGCGACUUACUGGACACAUAUUGACGCUGAGGUGCGAAAGCGUGGGGAGCAAACAGG
Molecule: ribosomal RNA, 253 nt
Filed under: uncultured bacterium
Lineage: Bacteria
Description: partial 16S ribosomal RNA
Rfam family: Bacterial small subunit ribosomal RNA
Source: RNAcentral